This 350-nucleotide ribosomal RNA is filed under the name uncultured bacterium. Its description in RNAcentral is "bacterial SSU rRNA". It matches the Rfam family "Bacterial small subunit ribosomal RNA", at positions 917 to 1269 of the family's 1533-position model. The record is from RNAcentral.
GGGCCCGCACAAGCGGUGGAGUAUGUGGUUUAAUUCGAUGCAACGCGAAGAACCUUACCAGGAUUUGACAUCCUGCGAAUCUCUUGGAAACGAGAGAGUGCCUUCGGGAACGCAGUGACAGGUGGUGCAUGGCUGUCGUCAGCUCGUGUCGUGAGAUGUUGGGUUAAGCCCCGCAACGAGCGCAACCCACGUCUUUAGUUGCCAGCAUUUAGUUGGGCACUCUAGAGAGACUGCCGGUGAUAAACCGGAGGAAGGUGUGGAUGACGUCAAGUCAUCUGCCCCUUACAUUCUGGGCUACACACGUACUACAAUGCUACGGACAAAGGGCAGCAAGUUCGCGAGGACAAGCA